Osmia bicornis bicornis is the source of this 333-nucleotide long non-coding RNA. RefSeq lists it as uncharacterized. The transcript is spliced from 2 exons. Lineage: Eukaryota; Metazoa; Arthropoda; Insecta; Hymenoptera; Megachilidae. The record is from RefSeq and is a predicted model, not a curated record.
UACGUUCACGCCGCCGGUCCAACAGCCACGGAAACUUCGUUUAUGCCUUUGCCACCAUUUGAUAAUGGCCGGUUUUGCAUGGUGGUUGUAAGUGGUGUUUGUAACUUAUCGUACUUGAAAAGGUCCUAGCCUAAUUGUUUCCUGUUGCCGGAAAACAUUGCAUCAGUGGUUCACACAAUUUGUUAUUUUGCAUUUUGAACAUAAAUAUAUCGAAAUUUUUGUGCACCCUAUUAUCUUAUAUAGGUAUAAGUUUAAAUUUUGCUUGAUUUUAUCUUCAUCUUAGAUAUAAAGACUUCAUAGUGUAUUAUAAAUAAAACAUUUUUUGAACAUAAA